RNAcentral lists this ribosomal RNA (253 nucleotides) under uncultured bacterium. RNAcentral's name for it is "partial 16S ribosomal RNA". It matches the Rfam family "Bacterial small subunit ribosomal RNA", at positions 524 to 776 of the family's 1533-position model. The record is from RNAcentral.
UACGGAGGGAGCUAGCGUUGUUCGGAAUUACUGGGCGUAAAGCGCGCGUGGGCGGCUUUGUAAGUUAGAGGUGAAAGCCCGGAGCUCAACUCCGGAACUGCCUUUAAAACUGCAUCGCUUGAAUCCAGGAGAGGUGAGUGGAAUUCCGAGUGUAGAGGUGAAAUUCGUAGAUAUUCGGAAGAACACCAGUGGCGAAGGCGGCUCACUGGACUGGUAUUGACGCUGAGGUGCGAAAGCGUGGGGAGCAAACAGG